This 778-nucleotide ribosomal RNA is filed under the name Analges slovakiensis. RNAcentral describes it as "partial large subunit ribosomal RNA". It matches the Rfam family "Eukaryotic large subunit ribosomal RNA", at positions 77 to 650 of the family's 3401-position model. The record is from RNAcentral. Lineage: Eukaryota; Metazoa; Arthropoda; Arachnida; Sarcoptiformes; Analgidae.
CCCUUAGUAACGGCGAGCGAAAAGGGAAGAGUCCAGCGCCAAGUCUUGACGCCCACGCGUUCAAGAGAUGCGGCGUUAAUGUAUUAUCGCAUCGUACAUUGUUGACUGUUUCAAGUUCCCUUGACAGGGACAUCCAUAGCGGGUGCUAGGCCCAUAGAGGCAGACAACCAGUGUGCGCAGAUAAUGCAUUCUAGAGUCAGGUUGCUUGAGAGUGCAGCUUAAAGUGGGUGGUAAACUCCAUCUAAGGCUAAAUAUGACAGCGAGACCGAUAGCAAACAAGUACCGUGAGGGAAAGUUGCAAAGCACUUUGAAGAGAGAGUUCAACAGUACGUGAAACCACUGGGAGGCAAACAGAUGGAACCACGAAGUUGCGCCUUGUUCGAUUCAAUCAUUGUUGCCAGUUACCGGUUUUUGUGUGGAUCUUUUCGGAGAUUAGCAAGUGUCGUGGAACUGGUUUCAAUGGUGCAUUUCGAGUAAGGAUGCUAAGCCACGUUCGAUUAGAGUUGGGACGGCCGUAGGACAGAAUUCGAGGAAGGUGACCGGAAAGUGCUUGCAUUUUUCGGUGUUAUAGCCUUGAAUUGGUACCGUCGCCUAACAAACUGAUCGAUAGAAAUUCUCCUUAGGAGUUAAACUGUGUCUGCCUGUGGCCGGUAGUCAAUGUUUCGAAGUGUUCUUUACGUAUCUUUGGUGCGGAAAGGCAUUUCAACGAUGUUGGCUAUUGGUUGCUUGCGUGACAUGGUGGAACUGUGGCGCGAGUAGGUCGGUUUCCCUCUGACCC